RNAcentral lists this small nucleolar RNA (103 nucleotides) under Gorilla gorilla gorilla (western lowland gorilla). RNAcentral describes it as "Small nucleolar RNA U13". It matches the Rfam family "Small nucleolar RNA U13". The record is from Rfam by way of RNAcentral. Lineage: Eukaryota; Metazoa; Chordata; Mammalia; Primates; Hominidae.
AUCCUUCUGUAGUUUAUAAGCAUGAUGACUGAGUAUUCUCCCGCAUGUGUGAGACGUGCUGCCCUUAAACUUUGUUAUGGUGUCGCACACUGCCAGUCUGAAA